This 468-nucleotide ribosomal RNA is filed under the name uncultured Anaerolineaceae bacterium. RNAcentral's name for it is "bacterial SSU rRNA". It matches the Rfam family "Bacterial small subunit ribosomal RNA", at positions 903 to 1382 of the family's 1533-position model. The record is from RNAcentral. Lineage: Bacteria; Bacillati; Chloroflexota; Anaerolineae; Anaerolineales; Anaerolineaceae.
CUACAAAUGAAUUGACGGGGACCCGCACAAGCAGCGGAGCGUGUGGUUUAAUUCGUUGCUACACGAAGAACCUUACCUGGGUUUGACAUAUAGGUUGUAGGGAACUGAAAGGGACCGACCCUUCGGGGAGCCUAUACAGGUGUUGCAUGGCUGUCGUCAGCUCGUGUCGUGAGAUGUUCGGUUAAGUCCGCUAACGAGCGCAACCCUCGUCGUAUGUUAUAUGUGUCAUACGAGACUGCCGGUAAAAGCCGGAGGAAGGUGAGGAUGAUGUCAAGUCAGCAUGACCUUUAUAUCCAGGGCUACACACACGCUACAAUGGUCUGUACAAUGGGUAGCCAAGCCGCGAGGCGGAGCCAAUCCUGAAAGCAGGCCUCAGUUCAGAUUGCAGUCUGCAACUCGACUGCAUGAAGCCGGAGUUGCUAGUAACCGCAGGUCAGCAAUACUGCGGUGAAUACGUUCCCGGGUCUU